GUGGGGAAUAUUGGACAAUGGGCGCAAGCCUGAUCCAGCCAUGCCGCGUGAGUGAUGAAGGUCUUCGGAUCGUAAAGCUCUGUGGGAAGGGACGAAAAAAUCCGACCUAAUACGUCGGGUCUUGACGGUACCUUCUUAGCAAGCACCGGCUAACUCCGUGCCAGCAGCCGCGGUAAUACGGAGGGUGCAAACGUUGCUCGGAAUUAUUGGGCGUAAAGCGCGCGUAGGCGGUGCGCUAAGUCGGAUGUGAAAGCCCUCGGCUCAACCGAGGAAGUGCAUCCGAAACUAGCGCGCUAGAGUACGGAAGAGGGUUUCGGAAUUCCCGGUGUAGAGGUGAAAUUCGUAGAUAUCGGGAGGAACACCAGUGGCGAAGGCGGAAACCUGGGCCGAUACUGACGCUGAGGCGCGAAAGCGUGGGGAGCAAACAGGAUUAGAAACCCCAGUAGUCC
Molecule: ribosomal RNA, 449 nt
Filed under: uncultured bacterium
Lineage: Bacteria
Description: bacterial SSU rRNA
Rfam family: Bacterial small subunit ribosomal RNA
Source: RNAcentral